This 514-nucleotide ribosomal RNA is filed under the name uncultured bacterium. RNAcentral describes it as "bacterial SSU rRNA". It matches the Rfam family "Bacterial small subunit ribosomal RNA", at positions 17 to 518 of the family's 1533-position model. The record is from RNAcentral.
UUCUGGCUCAGGAUGAACGCUAGCGAUAGGCCUAACACAUGCAAGUCGAGGGGCAUCACAUGAAGUAGCAAUGCGGAUGGUGGCGACCGCGCACGGGUGAGUAACACGUAUGCAACCUGCCUUCAACAAGGGGAUAACCCGUUGAAAGACGGACUAAUACCCUAUAACACAGGGGCCCCGCAUGGGGGAUAUUUGUUAAAGAUUAAUCGGUUGAAAGAUGGGCAUGCGUUCCAUUAGCUAGUUGGUGGGGUAAUGGCCCACCAAGGCAACGAUGGAUAGGGGAACUGAGAGGUUUAUCCCCCACACUGGUACUGAGACACGGACCAGACUCCUACGGGAGGCAGCAGUGAGGAAUAUUGGUCAAUGGACGCAAGUCUGAACCAGCCACGUCCGCGUGAAGGAAGACGGCCCUACGGGUUGUAAACUUCUUUUGCAAGGGAAUAAAGUGAGUCACGUGUGACUUUUUGCAAGUACCUUGCGAAUAAGGAUCGGCUAACUCCGUGCCAGCCGCAGC